Molecule: microRNA precursor, 73 nt
Filed under: Bombyx mori (domestic silkworm)
Lineage: Eukaryota; Metazoa; Arthropoda; Insecta; Lepidoptera; Bombycidae
Description: mir-2774 microRNA precursor family
Rfam family: mir-2774 microRNA precursor family
Source: Rfam by way of RNAcentral
AAAACAUUCAGACCGCCGGCGCCGGUCUACCGAGUAAAAUCACACGCUCGGUGGAAGAUCUUCCCUUUGUCGU